Molecule: ribosomal RNA, 852 nt
Filed under: uncultured bacterium
Lineage: Bacteria
Description: bacterial SSU rRNA
Rfam family: Bacterial small subunit ribosomal RNA
Source: RNAcentral
UGCUCUACACAUGCAAGUCGAACGGUAACAGGUCUUCGGAUGCUGACGAGUGGCGAACGGGUGAGUAAUGCAUCGGAACGUGCCCAGUCGUGGGGGAUAACGCAGCGAAAGCUGUGCUAAUACCGCAUACGAUCUAUGGAUGAAAGCGGGGGACUCGCAAGGGCCUCGCGCGAUUGGAGCGGCCGAUGUCAGAUUAGGUAGUUGGUGGGGUAAAGGCUCACCAAGCCAACGAUCUGUAGCUGGUCUGAGAGGACGACCAGCCACACUGGAACUGAGACACGGUCCAGACUCCUACGGGAGGCAGCAGUGGGGAAUUUUGGACAAUGGGUGCAAGCCUGAUCCAGCAAUGCCGCGUGCAGGAAGAAGGCCUUCGGGUUGUAAACUGCUUUUGUACGGAACGAAACGGUCCUGGUUAAUACCUGGGGCUAAUGACGGUACCGUAAGAAUAAGCACCGGCUAACUACGUGCCAGCAGCCGCGGUAAUACGUAGGGUGCAAGCGUUAAUCGGAAUUACUGGGCGUAAAGCGUGCGCAGGCGGUUUUGUAAGACAGUCGUGAAAUCCCCGGGCUCAACCUGGGAAUUGCGAUUGUGACUGCAAGGCUGGAGUGCGGCAGAGGGGGAUGGAAUUCCGCGUGUAGCAGUGAAAUGCGUAGAUAUGCGGAGGAACACCGAUGGCGAAGGCAAUCCCCUGGGCCUGCACUGACGCUCAUGCACGAAAGCGUGGGGAGCAAACAGGAUUAGAUACCCUGGUAGUCCACGCCCUAAACGAUGUCAACUGGUUGUUGGGUCUCUUCUGACUCAGUAACGAAGCUAACGCGUGAAGUUGACCGCCUGGGGAGUACGGCCGCAAGG